Molecule: ribosomal RNA, 1518 nt
Filed under: metagenome
Description: bacterial SSU rRNA
Rfam family: Bacterial small subunit ribosomal RNA
Source: RNAcentral
AGAGUUCGAUCCUGGCUCAGAAUGAACGCUGGCGGCGUGGAUUAGGCAUGCAAGUCGAACGUGAAAGCGAAAUUUAUUUCGCAAGUAAAGUGGCGAACGGGUGAGUAACACGUGGGAAACCUGCCCUGGAGCGGGGGAUAACAUUUCUAACGGAAUGCUAAUACCGCAUAAUAUUUUCUGGCGCAUGUCAGAAAAUCAAAGGUAGCCUCUUCUUGAAAGCUAUCACUUUGGGAUGGUCCCGCGUCCAAUUAGCUUGUUGGUAGGGUAAUGGCCUACCAAGGCGACGAUUGGUAGCCGGCCUGAGAGGGUGACCGGCCACACUGGGACUGAGACACGGCCCAGACUCCUACGGGAGGCAGCAGUCGAGAGGCUUCGGCAAUGGGGGAAACCCUGACCGAGCGACGCCGCGUGGACGAUGAAGUAUUUCGGUACGUAAAGUCCUGUCAUGAGGGAUGAAAAAUUGAUUGGGUAAUACCUUUUCGAUCUGACAGUACCUCAAGAGGAAGCUCCGGCUAACUCCGUGCCAGCAGCCGCGGUAAUACGGGGGGAGCGAGCGUUAUUCGGAUUCAUUGGGCGUAAAGAGUUCGUAGGCGGCCUGAUAAGUCAGGGGUGAAAUCCAACAGCUUAACUGUUGGCCUGCCUUUGAAACUGUUGGGCUUGAGUAUUGGAGAGGAAAGCGGAAUUCUUGGUGUAGCGGUGAAAUGCGUGGAUAUCAAGAGGAACACCUGUGGCGAAAGCGGCUUUCUGGCCAAAUACUGACGCUGAGGAACGAAAGCUAGGGGAGCAAACGGGAUUAGAUACCCCGGUAGUCCUAGCAGUAAACGAUGGGCACUAGGUGUAGGAGGUAUCGACCCCUUCUGUGCCGCAGCUAACGCAUUAAGUGCCCCGCCUGGGGAGUACGAUCGCAAGAUUGAAACUCAAAGGAAUUGACGGGGGCCCGCACAAGCGGUGGAGCAUGUGGUUUAAUUCGAUGAUACGCGAAGAACCUUACCGGGGUUUGACAUGUAAUUGACCGGCAUGGAAACAUGCUUUCUCCUUCGGGAGCAGUUACACAGGUGCUGCAUGGUUGUCGUCAGCUCGUGUCGUGAGAUGUUGGGUUAAGUCCCGCAACGAGCGCAACCCCUAUCCUUAGUUGCCAUCAGGUUAUGCUGGGAACUCUAGGGAGACUGCCGGUGAUAAACCGGAGGAAGGUGGGGAUGACGUCAAAUCCUCAUGGCCCUUACAUCCCGGGCUACACACGUGCUACAAUGGCAGGUACAAAGGGCUGCGAGACCGCGAGGUGGAGCGAAACCCAUAAAACCUGUCUCAGUACGGAUUACAGUCUGCAACUCGACUGUAUGAAGGCGGAAUCGCUAGUAAGCGCGGAUCAGCAGGCCGCGCUGAAUACGUUCCCGGGCCUUGUACACACCGCCCGUCAAGCGAUGGAAGCUGGGGGUACCCGAAGUCGGUGACCUAACCCGUAAGGGAGGGAGCCGCCGAAGGUAAAACUAGUGACUGGCGCUAAGUCGUAACAAGGUA